AACGAACGCUGGCGGCAUGCCUAACACAUGCAAGUCGAACGAGACCUUCGGGUCUAGUGGCGCACGGGUGCGUAACGCGUGGGAACCUGCCCUUAGGUUCGGAAUAACUCCCCGAAAGGGGUGCUAAUACCGGAUAAUGUCUUCGGACCAAAGAUUUAUCGCCUUUGGAUGGGCCCGCGUUGGAUUAGCUAGUUGGUAGUGUAAAAGCCUACCAAGGCGACGAUCCAUAGCUGGUCUGAUAGGAUGCUCAGCCACACUGGGACUGAGACACGGCCCAGACUCGUACGGGAGGCAGCAGUGGGGAAUAUUGGACAAUGGGCGAAAGCCUGAUCCAGCAAUGCCGCGUGAGAGAUGAAGGCCUUAGGGUUGUAAAGCUCUUUUACCCGGGAUGAUAAUGACAGUACCGGGAGAAUAAGCUCCGGCUAACUCCGUG
RNAcentral lists this ribosomal RNA (433 nucleotides) under uncultured bacterium. RNAcentral's name for it is "partial 16S ribosomal RNA". It matches the Rfam family "Bacterial small subunit ribosomal RNA", at positions 29 to 507 of the family's 1533-position model. The record is from RNAcentral.